AAAAACGCAGCGACGGAGAAAGUACACACAAGGCGUCCGGCAAAGAGAGGCGCUUCACCGGCUGAAAGGGUGCCCAAGUGGGGCCUGUGUGGAAGUUCGCUCCUGAGCGGCCCGCGUGAACGGCUUUUCCGAAAGCCUUUUAGUGCGGGACGGCACGCCCCGUUACGGCGUUUGAGCGCCGCUCUUUUGAGGGAGCGGAAACCGGGUGGUACCGCGGAGUAAAUGUUACAGCUUCGUCCCCUUU
RNAcentral lists this non-coding RNA (244 nucleotides) under Faecalibacterium prausnitzii. RNAcentral's name for it is "T-box sequence". It matches the Rfam family "T-box leader". Rfam says of the family: Uncharged tRNA acts as the effector for transcription antitermination of genes in the T-box leader family. T-boxes are found upstream of many aminoacyl-tRNA synthetase genes and some amino acid biosynthetic genes usually in Gram-positive bacteria. Lineage: Bacteria; Bacillati; Bacillota; Clostridia; Eubacteriales; Oscillospiraceae. The record is from RNAcentral.